Molecule: long non-coding RNA, 996 nt
Organism: Dreissena polymorpha
Lineage: Eukaryota; Metazoa; Mollusca; Bivalvia; Myida; Dreissenidae
Exons: 2
Source: RefSeq, a predicted model, not a curated record
GUUUUGUGGUCUCAUUAGUGGACGGAGUAGGCCCUGACAAGACUGCGACUACACAGGCUGAUCGGCAGCUACACUGGUCGAUUAUGACAUAAGACUCUUUCUCGCAUGACGUGACUCUAUAAGCUUUCAUUACGGACACAAUUACAUCUUGUCCAUACUAAAAAACGUUACUUGCAUUCAGGCAAAACGUUUUUUAAAUAAGCGCAUAUAAAUUAUUUUAAGUCUAUACAUUGUUUAGUACAUGUACACAUAUUUACCAUUUUGUUCAUAAAAAAUUGAACAGUUGGCCAUGCACUCAUCAACUCCAGACUCCCUAUGACCCAACCCCCUCUUAAGAGGCCUCCCCGCUUAAGCAGCCAAUUAGGCUGUUUCCCUUGACUGGCUGCUUAAGAGGGGUUGGACUGUAUAUUUUAUGUACAUACAUAAAUAAUAAGUGUAUAUAUCCACUGUAUAAAAAAAACAAAUAAUUUCUGCAAAUGAUGAAUCAAAUGUGCAUAUUUCGUGCACCCAUGUCUGCCGAUCAUUUCAAUAAAAAGCCUGUUUCAUUAUAAAUUCUUUAAAUACUCAAUUGCAACAAUAAAUAUGUUUCCCGGCAUGUUUAUUGAAAAAUAUAUAUUGAGAGUCCAUGUAACAACUUAACCGAAGAACACUUGAAUGAAAUUACAAGUAAUAAGCAUGCUUUCCAGCAAUAAAUCAGCCUACAUUUUUUCUUCAUAAAAUUUUGACACUUUGAUAAGUGGGUAGAUGAAGGAUUUGAAAAAGCAAUAUGAUCCCAGAUUUAUGGAGGAUAUUUAAUCUGUUUGAAACUGUUCAUGAUUUAUGAUACAUUUGCAAUAAAAUGUGCGAUUUUCUUCUUUAUUGGUCAUUGAACGCCCUUUGUGCGGAGUGUACAUUAAAUAAACGGAACAAUGAUAUGGCAUGUUGAAGUCCCGGUUUAUCGUGUGAUUUUAGUUUAGUAUUUGAAAUAACAUGUUUAAUAAAUAAAAAUAAAAUAUA